ACGCUCGACACCUACGGGAGGCAGCAGUCGGGAAUAUUGCGCAAUGGAGGAAACUCUGACGCAGUGACGCCGCGUAUAGGAAGAAGGUUUUCGGAUUGUAAACUAUUGUCGUUAGGGAAGAAAAAGGACAGUACCUAAGGAGGAAGCUCCGGCUAACUACGUGCCACAGCCGCGGUAAUCUGAGCGGGCUGGCAAGGC
This 198-nucleotide ribosomal RNA is filed under the name uncultured bacterium. RNAcentral's name for it is "partial 16S ribosomal RNA". It matches the Rfam family "Bacterial small subunit ribosomal RNA", at positions 328 to 539 of the family's 1533-position model. The record is from RNAcentral.